RNAcentral lists this ribosomal RNA (478 nucleotides) under uncultured bacterium. RNAcentral describes it as "bacterial SSU rRNA". It matches the Rfam family "Bacterial small subunit ribosomal RNA", at positions 328 to 793 of the family's 1533-position model. The record is from RNAcentral.
UCAGUCGACUCCUACGGGGAGGCAGCAGUGGGGGAAUAUUGCACAAUGGGCGCAAGCCUGAUGCAGCCAUGCCGCGUGUAUGAAGAAGGCCUUCGGGUUGUAAAGUACUUUCAGCAGUGAGGAAGGUGGGGUAUGGUUAAUAGCAUACUCAUUUGACGUUAGCUGCAGAAGAAGCACCGGCUAACUCCGUGCCAGCAGCCGCGGUAAUACGGAGGGUGCGAGCGUUAAUCGGAAUUACUGGGCGUAAAGCGCAUGCAGGUGGUUUGUUAAGUCAGAUGUGAAAGCCCGGGGCUCAACCUCGGAAUUGCAUUUGAAACUGGCAAACUAGAGUACUGUAGAGGGGGGUAGGAAUUUCAGGUGUAGCGGUGAAAUGCGUAGAGAUCUGAAGGAAUACCGGUGGCGAAGGCGGCCCCCUGGACAGAUACUGACACUCAGAUGCGAAAGCGUGGGGAGCAAACAGGAUUAGAUACCCUGGUAG